UACGUAGGGUGCGAGCGUUGUCCGGAAUUAUUGGGCGUAAAGGGCUCGUAGGCGGUUUGUCGCGUCGGGAGUGAAAACUCAGGGCUUAACCCUGAGCCUGCUUCCGAUACGGGCAGACUAGAGGUAUGCAGGGGAGAACGGAAUUCCGUGGUGUAGCGGUGAAAUGCGCAGAUAUCAGGAGGAACACCGGUGGCGAAGGCGGGUCUCUGGGCCGAUACUGACGUGAGGAGCGAAAGCGUGGGGAGCGAACAGG
RNAcentral lists this ribosomal RNA (253 nucleotides) under uncultured bacterium. RNAcentral describes it as "partial 16S ribosomal RNA". It matches the Rfam family "Bacterial small subunit ribosomal RNA", at positions 524 to 776 of the family's 1533-position model. The record is from RNAcentral.